CCUACGGGUGGCAGCAGUGGGGGAUAUUGCACAAUGGGGGGAACCCUGAUGCAGCGACGCCGCGUGGGUGAAGAAGCGCCUCGGCGCGUAAAGCCCUGUCAGCAGGGAAGAAAAUGACGGUACCUGAAGAAGAAGCCCCGGCUAACUACGUGCCAGCAGCCGCGGUAAUACGUAGGGGGCAAGCGUUAUCCGGAUUUACUGGGUGUAAAGGGGGCGCAGACGGCGAUGCAAGCCAGGAGUGAAAGCCCGGGGCCCAACCCCGGGACUGCUCUUGGAACUGCGUGGCUGGAGUGCAGGAGGGGCAGGGGGAAUGCGUGGGGGAGCGGUGAAAUGCGUAGAGAGCAGGAGGAAGACCGGUGGCGAAGGGGGCCUGCUGGACUGAAACGGACGUUGAGGCCCGAAAGCGUGGGGAGCAAACAGGAUUAGAUACCCUUGGAGUC
Molecule: ribosomal RNA, 440 nt
Filed under: uncultured bacterium
Lineage: Bacteria
Description: partial 16S ribosomal RNA
Rfam family: Bacterial small subunit ribosomal RNA
Source: RNAcentral